GAUGAACGCUGGCGGCGUGCCUAAUACAUGCAAGUCGAGCGAACAGACGAGGAGCUUGCUCCUCUGACGUUAGCGGCGGACGGGUGAGUAACACGUGGAUAACCUACCUAUAAGACUGGGAUAACUUCGGGAAACCGGAGCUAAUACCGGAUAAUAUAUUGAACCGCAUGGUUCAAUAGUGAAAGACGGUUUUGCUGUCACUUAUAGAUGGAUCCGCGCCGCAUUAGCUAGUUGGUAAGGUAACGGCUUACCAAGGCAACGAUGCGUAGCCGACCUGAGAGGGUGAUCGGCCACACUGGAACUGACACGGUCCAGACUCCUACGGGAGGCAGCAGUAGGGAAUCUUCCGCAAUGGGCGAAAGCCUGACGGAGCAACGCCGCGUGAGUGAUGAAGGUCUUCGGAUCGUAAAACUCUGUUAUUAGGGAAGAACAAAUGUGUAAGUAACUAUGCACGUCUUGACGGUACCUAAUCAGAAAGCCACGGCUAACUACGUG
Molecule: ribosomal RNA, 495 nt
Filed under: uncultured bacterium
Lineage: Bacteria
Description: partial 16S ribosomal RNA
Rfam family: Bacterial small subunit ribosomal RNA
Source: RNAcentral